UCUUAAAAAUACCCACCCCCCACCUCCCUAGCUCAACCCAACUCCCGAUCCCAAUUCUCGCGGAGCAAACGAAAGAAAAACUCGCGAUCCCCAUUAUCUCAAGACACCUUAACCCUAGCAGUAGUGCACCGCAGCGGAAAGCACCGCCGUCCAUGGAAUAGCCAUCGACCUUCCUCCAUGGCUCCCCUUGCAUCGGCCCUCUCUCUCAUGUCUACACAGCUCAGAUCUGGCCCCUCCUCUAAUCAUGUUCCCCUGUCUCUCUCAGAUCGAUCCCUGGUCAACUUACGGCUGCACCUCCGCAGUCACGCACGAAACAGGCAAGCGCCGCCCCAGAGUGGAGGAUGGAGCUUUCAGCUGUCGGUCUACCGUGCGCGCAUCCACUCCAAGGCGGGCCACAUCCCUCAAGGUCUAGGUCGACGGGGCAUGGUGAACUGAAUUUCCGCUGCAUCUCAACAUCAUGCGCUGCACCCUACAGCCGCAGGUGGAUCUACCUUUCUGAAAGUGCAACAAGUUGAACAUUAAAUUGUUUAUCUUCAGACGAUGCGGAAAUUGAGCCGACAAGAUAAAAUUCCAUACCUUGCCCAUCAAGAUGGCUCGUCGAAGAUUCUGCUCUCAACCUAGAUUAAGACCCAAAACAUCAGCAAGGACUGCUAUAUUCGAAGGAAGAACACUAGAAGGAAUGUAUAUAGGAUUUAGUUACACUCUAAUAUUUUGAAACAAGAUUGUAAGCUGUGUACUCAAAAGAAAAACAUUUCAUGUAUGGAAUGCGGU
Long non-coding RNA from Lolium perenne, 771 nucleotides. RefSeq lists it as uncharacterized. NCBI's taxonomy places the organism in Eukaryota, Viridiplantae, Streptophyta, Magnoliopsida, Poales, Poaceae. The record is from RefSeq and is a predicted model, not a curated record.